Molecule: long non-coding RNA, 427 nt
Organism: Coffea arabica (coffee)
Lineage: Eukaryota; Viridiplantae; Streptophyta; Magnoliopsida; Gentianales; Rubiaceae
Source: RefSeq, a predicted model, not a curated record
AGGAAUCUGAUCUCAAACCUUUUAGAAAAGUGAAAGGCAGCACCCUCAUUAUUUGUCCUAUGGCGUUGCUUGGCCAGCGGAAGGAUGAACUUGAAACACACUCAAAGCCAGAUAGCAUCUCCGUUUCUGUCUUUUUUGGUGGGGAUCGGAGCAGUGACCCUAGAGUGAUUGCUGAACCUAAUGUGGUCUUGACCACAUACAGUGUCUUAACGGCUGCUUGAUGGGGAGAAGAGCAUUUUCCACAGAGUUGACUGGUACAGAGUGGUUUUGGAUGAAGCUCAUACCAUCAAGUCCUAUAAAACUCUAGGUGCCCAGGCUGCCUUCAAAUUGUCAUCCUAUUGCAUGUGGUGUCUUACUGGUACCCCUCUUCAGGUGGCAAAAACUGAUUCAGAAGCCAUAUGAGAGUGGUGAUUAUAGAGGGAUAAAG